CAAUAGCGUAUAUUAAAGUUGUUGCAGUUAAAAAGCUCGUAGUUGGAUUUAAGUUUGGUUCAAGAUCACAGUCGUGAGGUUGUGGUGCAUGAAACGGACAUUAUUUGGGAUUGGGGGUUUCUUGGCAUUCAGUUGUUGAGAUUCAACUGCCCAUCGUUUACUGUGAAAAAAUUAGAGUGUUUAAAGCAGGGGUUUUUCCUUUGGAUAUAUUAGCAUGGAAUAAUAAUAUAUGACUCGUAUGGUCUAUUUUGUUGGUUUGCACAUAUGAGUAAUGAUUAAUAGGGACAGUUGGGGGUAUUCAUAUUUGAGCGUCAGAGGUGAAAUUCUUGGAUCGCUGAAAGAUGAGCUAAGGCGAAAGCAUUUACCAAGGAUGUUUUCAUUAA
RNAcentral lists this ribosomal RNA (383 nucleotides) under uncultured eukaryote. Its description in RNAcentral is "partial 18S ribosomal RNA". It matches the Rfam family "Eukaryotic small subunit ribosomal RNA", at positions 592 to 976 of the family's 1831-position model. The record is from RNAcentral.